AUGGGGUCGGCUUCCAGAUCCGCGCCCCCAUGGGUUGGACCUGGUGCUCCAUCUCCAUGGCGGCGUCUGCUUCCGCUCGACCAUCUGCGUCCUUCUGCUGCUCGUCGAGCGCGAGCGCCGACGCGGCGGGGCGGGGCUUGCUCGACCUGUUCGGGCUACUCGUGCUGGUCGACAACAGCCUGUCGGAGUAGACCGCUGUCUACUUCUACCUGGUCAAGGGUGCAGACGGGAAGCUCAGCACUCACUUCUGCCAAGACGCCUUCAGGUCAUUGA
Molecule: ribosomal RNA, 273 nt
Filed under: Triticum aestivum (bread wheat)
Lineage: Eukaryota; Viridiplantae; Streptophyta; Magnoliopsida; Poales; Poaceae
Description: partial small subunit ribosomal RNA
Source: RNAcentral